Molecule: ribosomal RNA, 468 nt
Filed under: uncultured bacterium
Lineage: Bacteria
Description: partial 16S ribosomal RNA
Rfam family: Bacterial small subunit ribosomal RNA
Source: RNAcentral
GACGAACGCUGGCGGCGUGCUUAACACAUGCAAGUCGAACGGAAAGGCCCUGCUUUUGUGGGGUGCUCGAGUGGCGAACGGGUGAGUAACACGUGAGUAACCUGCCCUUGACUUUGGGAUAACUUCAGGAAACUGGGGCUAAUACCGGAUAGGAGCUCCUGCUGCAUGGUGGGGGUUGGAAAGUUUCGGCGGUUGGGGAUGGACUCGCGGCUUAUCAGCUUGUUGGUGGGGUAGUGGCUUACCAAGGCUUUGACGGGUAGCCGGCCUGAGAGGGUGACCGGACACAUUGGGACUGAGAUACGGCACAGACUCCUACGGGAGGCAGCAGUGGGGAAUAUUGCACAAUGGGCGGAAGCCUGAUGUAGCAACGCCGCGUGGGGGAUGACGGCCAUCGGGUUGUAAACCGCUUUCGCCUGUGACGAAGCGUGAGUGACGGUAAUGGGUAAAGAAGCACCGGCUAACUACGUG